CGAGAGGGGGCUAGCGUUGUUCGGAAUUACUGGGCGUAAAGGGCGCGUAGGUGGCCUGUUAAGUCGAACGUGGAAUCCCCGGGCUCAACCCGGGAACUGCGUCCGAGACUGGCAGGCUCGAAUCCGGGAGAGGGAUGUGGAAUUCCAGGUGUAGCGGUGAAAUGCGUAGAUAUCUGGAGGAACACCGGUGGCGAAGGCGGCAUCCUGGACCGGUAUUGACGCUGAGGCGCGAAAGCCAGGGGAGCAAACGGGAUUAGAUACCCCGGUAGUCCUGGCCCUAAACGAUGAAUGCUUGGUGUGGCGGGUAUCGAUCCCUGCCGUGCCGAAGCUAACGCAUUAAGCAUUCCGCCUGAGGAGUACGGUCGCAAGGCUG
Molecule: ribosomal RNA, 373 nt
Filed under: uncultured organism
Description: bacterial SSU rRNA
Rfam family: Bacterial small subunit ribosomal RNA
Source: RNAcentral